RNAcentral lists this long non-coding RNA (935 nucleotides) under Homo sapiens (human). Its description in RNAcentral is "non-protein coding lnc-RSRC1-1:1". Lineage: Eukaryota; Metazoa; Chordata; Mammalia; Primates; Hominidae. The record is from RNAcentral.
UGUGAGGUGGAUGGAGGAGGAUUUAGGGGCUGAGGAGGAUUUGGGGGCAUGAGGUGUGGGAGGAGGGUUGGGGAGAAGGGUUGAGGGCGUGAGUUGGUGGGAAGGGCUUGAGAGCAUGAUGUGGGAGGAGGGUUGAGGGCGUGAGGUAGGGGGAAGAGGUUUGAGGGUGAGAGGUAGUGGGACGAGGGAGGGUUGGGGCGUGAGGUGGAGGGAGGAGGGUUUGGGGGCAUGAGGUGUGGGGAAGAGGGUUUAGGGGCAUGAGGUGUGGGGGUAGGAGGGUUGAGGGUGUGAGGUGGACAGAGGAGAGUUGAUGGCGUGCAGUGGGGGGAGGAGGGUUUGGGGGCGUGAGGUCGCAGGAGGCUGUCAAAAAAAAAAGAGAGAAAUGAAGGAUUCCUUUUAUGGGCUUAUCAGUGGACUAUGAACAGCUUAGGAGAGAAUCUCUGAGCUUGAGGAUAUGACAGUACUUUGCUGACAUGUUGAUCUCAGACUUCCAGCCUCCAGAACUGUGAGACAGUAAAUGUUGUUUAAAAAAGAAAUAAAGGGAAAGAAAGAAAGGGAAGAACAAGAAAAUCAGCUAGAGAAGCUAAUUUAAUAGAAAAAAGGUAUGUCUAUUCGCUCUUAUAAUUAAAGAGUUUGGGAAGCAUGUAAAAACAGGAAAGCUACUUAAAAAACAAAUAAAAGGGCAGUGCAAGGUCUGAGAGACAGAGAUGGGAAAUGGAAGUCUCAGAUAUUGAACCAAACUGUAGGACCAAGUACACAUAAAACUACUCCCCCCUAAUUCAAUUCCGUGGAAGUAACUUUACUUUUAUUCAUUUCCUGACAUUCAUUAAUUUAUUUUAUUCUAAAUAUAUUAUUUCAAACAUUUGAUAAAAACUGACAUCAUGAAAGAGAGAAGCUAUGCUAACCAAACAGAAGAACCAACACUUAAGGAAUCA